This 1254-nucleotide ribosomal RNA is filed under the name Triticum aestivum (bread wheat). RNAcentral describes it as "partial small subunit ribosomal RNA". Lineage: Eukaryota; Viridiplantae; Streptophyta; Magnoliopsida; Poales; Poaceae. The record is from RNAcentral.
CUUUUUAAGCUGCCGACGAGGGACGUCGUCCGUGGCCGCAGCGUGUCCAGACAAUGGCACGACAUCCUCACCGACCCUUCCUUCCUCGACAUCCACGCCAACAAUGCACACAUCUUCCCCGACACCGGUGGUGCGGCCGAGUCAUUGGCCAUCUCGGAGAUCCGUGGCGGGGGCACUGGCUUCGAGAUGACCAUCCUAAACUCCGCCUCAUCAAAGCCCAUGUCCCGCGUUGCCAACCUACCCGCUGGCUACUUCCCCUCCAACGUUUGCAACGGUUUCCUCCUCCUCGCUUCUGGUGUCAAGGACUGGCCUUUGUUUGUGUGCAACCCCAUCACCGGCACGAUGCUCAAGGUCCUGGCGCCGCACGGUCCCGGCGACGAUUAUGAGGACAUGUACCACUCCACAGACAACAUCACGUACGCUAUGGCGUUCAGCCCGUCCACCCGUCAGUACAAGCUCUUCCGCCUUUGCUCCCGGGAUGCCAUUGCUAUUCCCGAGACGUGGGCCAACUAUUUGGAUGUGUGCACUCUGGGCGACCCUAACGGUAGAGGGUGGCGCCGACACCCGUGCAUGUUCCGGUAUGGUAUUGUAUUUGGCCUCCACUCGCCGCCGCCAGCGCUCGUUGAUGGCAAGCUGUACGUGGUGACACAGCGUCCGCAGCACUACCGGGUGCCUGACAGGAUGCUGGUCAUCGACGUUGCCAGCGAGACGCACGAGACGUACCGCCUCCCGGUGGACUCCAUCUUGGGGGAUGCCGUGGUGGUGCAUCCCUUCGAUCUGCGUGGCCAGUUGUGCGUGGCAGUGCGUGUCGCCAGCCGACGACAGCUCUCGUUCUGGGUUCUGUCGCCCCACGACAGUGAAGGUGAUCGGCUGCAUGGCUGGGAGGUGCUAUACACCUUUCACAUGAACGAAGAUGGCAGGGAUAAGCCGAGUGGUGCCUGGUUUGACACUUGCGACGGCAUGCUAUGCUACAAGUUAGGCAACCAAAUCUAUAUGCACGACACCACCAGGGACAAGCAGCAAAAGGCUGCAGGUUGUUUCUCGGAGUGGGAUCAUUGGAUGCAGUUGCCCGCGGCACCCAAGCACCAGCAGUGGAGCGUCUAUGGCGGCUACCGUCCCAGCCUGCUCUCACCUCGUCUCGCCUUCGCCAUUCCAUCGUCGCUGCAGUGCCAUGAUGAACAAGAGCACUUCGAGCGUGAGUUGAUAAAUCCUCUACGAUGCCACCAACAAUCAUCGAAGAAGCGACGCUCUACC